UACGUAGGGGGCAAGCGUUAUCCGGAAUUACUGGGUGUAAAGGGAGCGUAGACGGUAAUGUAAGUCUGGAGUGAAAGGCGGGGGCCCAACCCCCGGACUGCUCUGGAAACUAUGUUACUGGAGUGCAGGAGAGGUAAGCGGAAUUCCUAGUGUAGCGGUAGAAUGCGUAGAGAUUAGGAGGAACAUCAGAGGCGAAGGCGGCUUACUGGACCAUAACUGACGCUGAGGCUCGAAAGCGUGGGGAGCAAACAGG
RNAcentral lists this ribosomal RNA (253 nucleotides) under uncultured Eubacteriales bacterium. Its description in RNAcentral is "uncultured Clostridiales bacterium partial 16S ribosomal RNA". It matches the Rfam family "Bacterial small subunit ribosomal RNA", at positions 524 to 776 of the family's 1533-position model. Lineage: Bacteria; Bacillati; Bacillota; Clostridia; Eubacteriales. The record is from RNAcentral.